RNAcentral lists this long non-coding RNA (1665 nucleotides) under Gallus gallus (chicken). RNAcentral's name for it is "lncRNA (ENSGALG00010003763.1)". Lineage: Eukaryota; Metazoa; Chordata; Aves; Galliformes; Phasianidae. The record is from RNAcentral.
UUUGCUUGUAGAAUCAGAGUCAUUAAGGUUGGAAGUGACCUCCAAGAUCCCCAAAUCCAACCACCAACCCAUCCCCACCGUGUUUGCUCGUAGAAUCGGAGUCAUUAAGGCUGGCAAUGACCUCCAAGAUCCCCAAAUCCAACCACCAACCCAUCCCCACCGUGUUUGCUCAGAGAAUCGGAGCCAUUAAGGCUGGCAAUGACCUCCAACAUCCCCACAUCCAACCAGCCCAUCCCCACCAGGCUUGCCAACCGUGCUCAUGUUGUGUCCCAUACAACCUCUCCAAGCAGCGCUGGCAGAAGCCGUGGCUGAGCUUUGCUCUUCAUUGUUAGCCCGCAUCCCAUCCCCCUACGAAUUCCUGCUCUUUACUUUCCAACUUGGCCGCUCUGGGUGUCUUUGGCAUCCUUUCCGUUCGGGUUCUCCCCCGUCCCCCCACUCAGCGUUGCUUUGGGCAGUCCAACCACCGUCGCCGGGAGGAGGAGGAGCUCCUGAAGCACAGCUGUGCUCCCUGGGGUCACUUUGCUGGAUUCCCACUCUGCCCUCGUAAUUCCCACCCAUCAUUUGGGUUGGAAGGGACCUUCCAAGGUCUUAGAAAGGCCCAGGUUGGAAGGCACCUCAAGGAUCAUCAAGCUCCAACCCCCAUCUGGUCCAGCACCCAAACUCUACCCGGCGCCUUGGAAAGCAGCGUUCUUUUCCCCUUGCUGCUCCUUGGGGGAGCGUUGUUCACGUUCUUUUGGGCUGGCAGCAGGGGCAGAUCCUCAGCAGAGCUCAGCGUCAUCCAGCGAGCAGAACGGUGCCCAUUGACACAUCGCUGUCACUGAUGGAGGUGUGAGGGGGGGUCGGGCUCACAGGCUUGUGUGAACACGGCACGAUAAAAGCCUCUUGCAAACGACGUGUCUUAUUGAUUUAAGGAGAAAAAAACCCAAAAAAACCCAGGUCUACGUUACUGGCAAAAAAAGGGUGAUCAUGUUAAUUCAAUCACGGCGGGCUCAGGAGGACAGGAGUCCUUUCGUAUUACCGUAACUGGCCAUGUGCAGCAAUAAGAGUGUCAGGCCUUGUCAGAGCUGACGGCUGUUGGCACUGCGCAAUCCCGGCAGGUGCCGCGGGCUGCUCCCUGGAGCACACGCUGGCUCUCUGGUGAUGGAACACAGCCGUUGAAGAGGUGGGACCCGCCGUAGGCUGGAGCAUUUCCAGCCUCCCCUUGCUGGGAUUCAGUUUGCUUCACCUGAAAAGUGAGCCGAGAGGGAUUCGUCUGUGCUCCAGCGUCAGCGUGGGCUCUGCGCUGCUGGGCUGGGAGGGACCCAGGAGGGGCCGGGAUGACCCGGAGGGAUCCAGGAGGCAUUGAGGAACCCUCAGUGAGAUGAGUUCUGAAGCUGUUCGAAAUUGAGAAGAGCUCUGGGAGACCGGAGGUGGCUUUUUGCUGGUGGGAAUGGUGUUCUGUGCGUGCCGGGCUGAAGCUGUGCUGACUUCGUGCCCUUCCGCUUGGUUGCCACCUUCGCCAUCUUCAGGGCAGGGACAGAGGAGGAUAUAAGGAUGGUGGGCAUUCCUUGUCCCACUCGCAGAGGUUCUCCCAAGCUUCUCUGCGUCCAGGCUUUGGAGAAAUGCAGCUCUCUGGGUGCCCAUGUGGGCUGCUGGUGAAGUGAGGUCCAUUUUGCGUCUCUGGGG